CCGUGUACCCUAACCGGCGAAGGAGGGUACGCGUCUACGGCUAAGGUCGGCGACUGGGGUG
RNAcentral lists this ribosomal RNA (61 nucleotides) under uncultured bacterium. RNAcentral's name for it is "partial 16S ribosomal RNA". The record is from RNAcentral.